Molecule: ribosomal RNA, 353 nt
Filed under: uncultured microorganism
Description: bacterial SSU rRNA
Rfam family: Bacterial small subunit ribosomal RNA
Source: RNAcentral
GAGUUUGAUCCUGGCUCAGGAUGAACACUGGCGGCGUGCUUAACACAUGCAAGUCGAACGGGGCCACCAUUUUUGAAGCGAUUAGCUUGCUAAGAGUGGAAAUAGUUGGCGGCUUAGUUGGCGGACGGGUGAGUAACGCGUGGGUAACCUGCCAUAUACAGGGGAGUAACACUUAGAAUAGGUGCUAAUACCGCAUAAGCGCACGGAGCUGCAUGGCUCAGUGUGAAAACUCCGGUGGUAUAUGAUGGACCCGCGUCUGAUUAGCUUGUUGGCGGGGUAACGGCCCACCAAGGCGACGAUCAGUAGCCGGCCUGAGAGGGUGGACGGCCACAUUUGGGACUGAGACACGGCCC